UUCGGUUGGGUCCUUAGUGGCGCACGGGUGCGUAACGCGUGGGAAUCUACCCCUCGGUUCGGAAUAACAGCGAGAAAUUGCUGCUAAUACCGGAUGAUGACGUAAGUCCAAAGAUUUAUCGCCGAGGGAUGAGCCCGCGUAGGAUUAGCUAGUUGGUGUGGUAAAGGCGCACCAAGGCGACGAUCCUUAGCUGGUCUGAGAGGAUGAUCAGCCACACUGGGACUGAGACACGGCCCAGACUCCUACGGGAGGCAGCAGUGGGGAAUAUUGGACAAUGGGCGAAAGCCUGAUCCAGCAAUGCCGCGUGAGUGAUGAAGGCCUUAGGGUUGUAAAUCUCUUUUACCCGGGAUGAUAAUGACAGUACCGGGAGAAUAAGCUCCGGCUAACUCCGUGCCAGCAGCCGCGGUAAUACGGAGGGAGCUAGCGUUAUUCGGAAUUACUGGGCGUAAAGCGCACGUAGGCGGCUUUGUAAGUAAGAGGUGAAAGCCUGGUGCUCAACACCAGAACUGCCUUUUAGACUGCAUCGCUUGAAUCCAGGAGAGGUGAGUGGAAUUCCGAGUGUAGAGGUGAAAUUCGUAGAUAUUCGGAAGA
Molecule: ribosomal RNA, 591 nt
Filed under: uncultured bacterium
Lineage: Bacteria
Description: bacterial SSU rRNA
Rfam family: Bacterial small subunit ribosomal RNA
Source: RNAcentral